Molecule: ribosomal RNA, 505 nt
Filed under: uncultured bacterium
Lineage: Bacteria
Description: bacterial SSU rRNA
Rfam family: Bacterial small subunit ribosomal RNA
Source: RNAcentral
GAUGAACGCUAGCGGUAGGCCUAAUACAUGCAAGUCGAACGGUAAGUAUUUUAGCAAUAGAAUACGAGAGUGACGUACGGGUGCGUAACACGUAUGCAACCUACCCUUUACAGGAGGAUAGCUCGGGGAAACUCGAAUUAACCCUCCAUGAGAUCACAGUGUGGCAUCACACAGUGAUUAAAACUCCGGUGGUAAAGGAUGGGCAUGCGUCUGAUUAGUUAGUUGGCGGGGUAACGGCCCACCAAGACGAUGAUCAGUAGGGGAACUGAGAGGUUGAUCCCCCACACUGGCACUGAGAUACGGGCCAGACUCCUACGGGAGGCAGCAGUAGGGAAUAUUGGUCAAUGGAUGGAAGUCUGAACCAGCCAUGCCGCGUGCAGGAAGAAGGCCUUCUGGGUUGCAAACUGCUUUUGCCAGGGGGAUAAAAAGACCAUGCGUGGUUAAUUGUAAGGUACCUGGUGAAUAAGCCACGGCUAACUACGUGCCAGCAGCCGCGGUAAGUACG